GCCCUUGUGGUGCAACGGAUAGCACGACUGUCUUCGGAACAGUUGAUCUGGGUUCGAUUCCUGGCGGGGGCA
This 72-nucleotide transfer RNA is filed under the name Candidatus Magasanikiibacteriota bacterium. RNAcentral's name for it is "tRNA-Arg". It matches the Rfam family "tRNA". From Rfam's summary of the family: Transfer RNA (tRNA) molecules are approximately 80 nucleotides in length. Their secondary structure includes four short double-helical elements and three loops (D, anti-codon, and T loops). Lineage: Bacteria; Candidatus Magasanikiibacteriota. The record is from RNAcentral.